GGAUUAGAUACCCUGGUAGUCCACGCCGUAAACGAUGUCUACUUGGAGGUUGUUCCCUUGAGGAGUGGCUUUCGGAGCUAACGCGUUAAGUAGACCGCCUGGGGAGUACGGUCGCAAGAUUAAAACUCAAAUGAAUUGACGGGGGCCCGCACAAGCGGUGGAGCAUGUGGUUUAAUUCGAAGCAACGCGAAGAACCUUACCUACUCUUGACAUCCUGCGAACUUGGUAGAGAUGCUUUGGUGCCUUCGGGAGCUCUGAGACAGGUGCUGCAUGGCUGUCGUCAGCUCGUGUCG
Molecule: ribosomal RNA, 293 nt
Filed under: uncultured bacterium
Lineage: Bacteria
Description: partial 16S ribosomal RNA
Rfam family: Bacterial small subunit ribosomal RNA
Source: RNAcentral